Molecule: ribosomal RNA, 524 nt
Filed under: uncultured bacterium
Lineage: Bacteria
Description: partial 16S ribosomal RNA
Rfam family: Bacterial small subunit ribosomal RNA
Source: RNAcentral
GACGAACGCUGGCGGCGUGCCUAAUACAUGCAAGUCGAGCGCAGGAAACUGACGGAACUCUUCGGAGGGAAGGCAGUGGAAUGAGCGGCGGACGGGUGAGUAACACGUAAGGAACCUGCCUCAAGGAUUGGGAUAACUCCGAGAAAUCGGAGCUAAUACCGGAUAGUUCAACGGACCGCAUGGCCCGCUGAUGAAAGGCGCUUCGGCGUCACCUUGAGAUGGCCUUGCGGUGCAUUAGCUAGUUGGUGGGGUAACGGCCCACCAAGGCGACGAUGCAUAGCCGACCUGAGAGGGUGAUCGGCCACACUGGGACUGAGACACGGCCCAGACUCCUACGGGAGGCAGCAGUAGGGAAUCUUCCACAAUGGACGAAAGUCUGAUGGAGCAACGCCGCGUGAGUGAUGAAGGUUUUCGGAUCGUAAAACUCUGUUGUAAGGGAAGAACACGUACGAGAGGAAAUGCUCGUACCUUGACGGUACCUUACGAGAAAGCCACGGCUAACUACGUGCCAGCAGCCGCAGUAA